GAUGAAGAACGCAGCGAAAUGCGAUAAGUAAUGUGAAUUGCAGAAUUCAGUGAAUCAUCGAGUCUUUGAACGCACAUUGCGCCCCCUGGUAUUCCGGGGGGCAUGCCUGUCCGAGCGUCAUUGCCGCCCUCAAGCACGGCUUGUGUGUUGGGCCCCCGCCCCCCGGCUUCGGGGGGCGGGCCCGAAAGGCAGCGGCGGCACCGCGUCCGGUCCUCGAGCGUAUGGGGCUUCGUCACCCGCUCUGUAGGCCCGGCCGGCGCCCGCCGGCGACCCCAAUCAAUCUUUCCAGGUUGACCUCGGAUCAGGUAGGGAUACCCGCUGAACUUAAGCAUAUCAAUAAGCGGAGA
RNAcentral lists this unclassified non-coding RNA (347 nucleotides) under soil metagenome. Its description in RNAcentral is "partial contains 5.8S ribosomal RNA, internal transcribed spacer 2, and large subunit ribosomal RNA". The stretch from base 1 to 120 matches the Rfam family "5.8S ribosomal RNA", at positions 35 to 154 of the family's 154-position model. The record is from RNAcentral.